AACGAACGUUGGCGGCGUGCUUAAUACAUGCAAGUCGUACGAGAAAGUUGGACUUCGGUCCUUCGAGUAAAGUGGCGAACGGGUGAGUAACACGUGGAUAACUUGCCCCUGAAUCUGGGAUAAUCAACCGAAAGGUCGUCUUAAUACCGGAUAAUAUUAUUUGUGGGCAUCUUCAAAUAAUCAAAGGUGGUUUCGGCUACCGAUCAGGGAUAGGUCCGCGGUUCAUUAGCUUGUUGGUGGGGUAAUGGCCUACCAAGGCGACGAUGAAUAGCCGGCUUGAGAGAGUGAACGGCCACACUGGGACUGAGAUACGGCCCAGACUCCUACGGGAGGCAGCAGUAGGGAAUAUUGCGCAAUGGACGAAAGUCUGACGCAGCAACGCCGCGUGGGUGAUGACGCAUCUUGGUGUGUAAAACCCUGUCAGCGGGGAAGAACCGUAUAGGUAGUAACUGACUCUAUGCCUGACGUACCCGCAGAGGAAGUCACCGCUAACU
RNAcentral lists this ribosomal RNA (494 nucleotides) under uncultured bacterium. RNAcentral's name for it is "bacterial SSU rRNA". It matches the Rfam family "Bacterial small subunit ribosomal RNA", at positions 29 to 502 of the family's 1533-position model. The record is from RNAcentral.